ACUUACCGCCACUUUUUCAUCUGUCAUGAAAUAACGCUGCGACAGUAAAGACAGUGUUUCACAACCGGAUAGCUGGACUUUUGAUUUAAUCGACGUGAUUUUUCUUCAAGGUUUGUAAAGCCGCCUUGCACUUGGAAAGCAGUACUAUGAAGAUUGACUUGGAAACCAGGAGUUGCAGCGCUGCAAUCCACUGUCGUGAUGUGUGCCGUUCAUAUGGGAAACUGAAAGUCCUCAACAAUCUCAAUCUGACAUUGCCUCAGGGCCAAAUUUAUGGGCUGCUGGGACCAAGUGGCUGUGGGAAGACUACGUUGUUGAAAUGCAUUGUGGGAACUCUAAAGAUCUCACAUGGUCAUAUCUCAGUGCUCAGGAAACCCCCCGCUUUCCCAGGACAUGUAGUGCCAGGAAGGAUGGUGGGAUUCAUGC
This is a long non-coding RNA of Carassius carassius (crucian carp), 423 nucleotides long. RefSeq lists it as uncharacterized. The record is from RefSeq and is a predicted model, not a curated record. The transcript has 3 exons. NCBI's taxonomy places the organism in Eukaryota, Metazoa, Chordata, Actinopteri, Cypriniformes, Cyprinidae.